GGCGGAGGGAGGGGGCGCCCGGGGAAGCGGCGUGUGCCGCCGGGGAGGCGGAGGGGGGAGGCUGCACGCGCAGGCACCGAGGGCGAAGUUGGCGGCGGGGGGGGAACAGGCUUGGCGUGCACGGAGAGAGCCCGGCUCCACGGGGGAGGGGGACGGCAGCAGCGCGGAGGGUCCGGAGUCCGGCGCGGAGGCGGUGGCGGCGCCCGGGGACCCCCGCCGCGGGCAGGGCACCGCACGCUGCGCGACGCGGAGCGGAGAAGCGGCGCGAUCCCGGCGAUCCCAGGAGAAGCUGCACGGAUCCACUCGGAAUGAAGACAACUCUCAAGACCUUCAUCUUUGUCACCGAGGCAGAUGGUGCUUUUCAAGGGCAGAUGCAGGACACACAAAUUUCAAGCAUGACAGCAAAGAAGUCCCUUCUGCUCGUUUCAUUUUGUAGAAGAAGAAAAUAAUAAAACUUCUCAUCGAUCCCUGGACUGCACUCGAGUGAGAGCUGUUAGCUGUCACAAAUAGAAACAACUCAGGAGUGUGAAGAGGGUCAAGUGGAGGAUCAGCUCAUUACUGUGAUUUAAGAAUGGAGGGGACAAAUGCUAUUCUCAUCAUAAAUGUUUUCUUUCUUGUUCUAUACUGCAAAAGGAAAGACAUUCAAUGCUGUGCUUCAAAGUCACAUUGCAAUCCCAAUCUAGUUGUUCAUGUUGGGUUUAAUAUAAACAAAGUCUAAUUGCAUAUACAGCUUUGUAAAUCCUCAGCAUCACUGGAGCUGCCCUGAUGAGAGAUCAGAAUUAGGUACAGUAUUUCCUCCCUGCCAGUAACAGGUUUUGAAUGGAAAGCCUGGAAUGUAAAAAAAGAAAUAAUGCUAAAAAUCCAAUCACUCUGACAUCCUGUGAGCUAAUAAGAGCACGUGAAUGCAACAAGCUUAGUACUUCACAGUAAUUAAUUUGACAGCAAAGAGCUAACAAGAAAACAACAGGCAGAGCAGUGAUGACUGGUUCAUAGAGGUCACUGUCAAACAAGAAAUAGGUGCAAACACAGUUCAUCUCCCUUUGGAAAAAACUAUUUCGUUGCCCCAGUGAAAAUGAAAAGUCCAAAGAGGGAAAAUACAAUGGGUUCGGUGGGGAUAACAAAUCUGGCAAGGUAUUUCUACAGUAAAACAAGGUAGAGGUUUUCUUUCUUACAUAUGGGGAUUUUUAAUCAUCCCCUGUUACUCACUGUAGUGGCAUGUUUUGGUUUUUGCAUUUCCCCCCCUCUCAGUUAGCUAAAGCCAUUUUGCAUAUUCAAAUAUUGGGAAGACUUAUCUUCUCUCACAAUUACUAACAAACUAAUACUCUAAUAACCUCUAUUGUUAUUUAAAGGGUGUCCAACACAGCAUUCUGGAGGCAGUUCUCACACAAUGGACUUUCUCUGGCUUCCUCCUAGAGAAGAACUUAAUCAAACCUCAGAUGCUUUCAGGCAGAAGAGCCUUCGGGGAGAGCAAACAGGGUUAACAGAAAGAAAUGUGCCAUCUGAUUUCUAAUCUUGCUCAGGGAGCAUGGCCUAUUGAUUGAGCCAUAAAGCUCUGUUAAUUUUAAUAUUUCCUCAGCUUUCAGUUCUUUCCCUUGGGCAUAAACUUGUUGCUGACACACAGUGGCUGAGCUAUCAGGGAGAGGGUAGCUUCACACUCCCCGACUCGGCUCUCUUCCCCUCCUCCCCUCCAUUCUAUUUGUUCUGAGCUCAUCUGCGUGAGGAUACAUUUUCACACACACCUUCUCAAACCGGCUGCUAUUCAUCUGAUUCAGGGUCAUGCUUUUCCAUACAUUAAAUGCAGGGGAAAACUGGGAAGGAAAUGGCUGGGAUUUGUGCUUGACGGGCAAGCACACGAUUAGCCAGGGAGCCCUGCUGUGAGAAAGUACAGCGUCGGAGGGUAUUUUCUGUGGAAUCAUCCAGUCUCAUGACUGGAAUCUGAUGCCUAUAAAAAGCUACUAUAUAAUGAAAACAGGAUAAAGUGAGAUCCUCAGGCAGUGUAAGUCGGCAUGUUCCCGAGACAUCCGACUGCUGCACAAUCACGGAACAGGUCAGCUUGGAAGGGACCGCCCGUGGGGCCAUCUGAUCCAACCUCCCUGCCCAAACAGGGUCCUCCUAGACACAACUCUUUCUUCCUUUAUAACCUCGGUAUUUGCUUAUGCACAUUUUUCUCAGGGGUAAGGAGGCAGAAGUCACUCUUGGAGAGGCCAGUCAGUGCAGCCCUGAGCUAGAAACGGAGCAGGAGGCGAUGGCACAGGGCAGCUCCCUCAGUGCUCUGUGUUUCCACCAUGCCUUCAGUGGGACCAUGAACAAUUUACAUUAGCAAAGGAUCUAGCCCUUCACCUUUAGCUAAAGCACCUUUUAUGCACUUAAACCAUUAAUAAUAUCUAUUAGGUAACCAUGUUAAUCCCUUUGAGGUAGGAUUUUCUCUACUGUACUGAUAGCUGAACUGAAUAAAAGCUUCACAUAUGAGA
Molecule: long non-coding RNA, 2471 nt
Organism: Zonotrichia leucophrys gambelii
Lineage: Eukaryota; Metazoa; Chordata; Aves; Passeriformes; Passerellidae
Exons: 3
Source: RefSeq, a predicted model, not a curated record